GUGCUCGCUUCGGAGCGCAUAUACUAAAAUUGGAACGCUACAGAGAAGAUCAGCAUGGCCCCUGCGCAAGGCGGACACGCAAAUUCGUGGGGCGUUCCAUAGUUUU
RNAcentral lists this small nuclear RNA (106 nucleotides) under Octodon degus (degu). The record is from RNAcentral. Lineage: Eukaryota; Metazoa; Chordata; Mammalia; Rodentia; Octodontidae.